ACACGACUACAUUAGAUACCCGUGUAGUCCUAGCCGUAAACGAUACUCGCUAGGUGUCGGCCACGGUGCAACCGUUGUCGGUGCCGUAGGGAAGCCGUGAAGCGAGCCACCUGGGAAGUACGGCCGCAAGGCUGAAACUUAAAGGAAUUGGCGGGGGAGCACCACAACGGGUGGAGCUUGCGGUUUAAUUGGAUUCAACGCCGGAAAUCUUACCGGGACCGACAGCAACAUGAAGGCCAGGCUGAAGACUUUGCCGGAUUAGCUG
This 265-nucleotide ribosomal RNA is filed under the name uncultured archaeon. Its description in RNAcentral is "partial 16S ribosomal RNA". It matches the Rfam family "Archaeal small subunit ribosomal RNA", at positions 719 to 982 of the family's 1478-position model. The record is from RNAcentral.